Xenopus laevis (African clawed frog) is the source of this 2281-nucleotide long non-coding RNA. RefSeq lists it as uncharacterized. Lineage: Eukaryota; Metazoa; Chordata; Amphibia; Anura; Pipidae. The transcript is spliced from 3 exons. The record is from RefSeq and is a predicted model, not a curated record.
GGAAAACCCCAGGUUCCGAGCAUUCUGGAUAACAGGUCCCAUACCUGUACUGUAGUUUUUAGCUUUUGUUGCCUUUAUAGUGACGUAAAUUAAACUGGAUUCUCUGACUGGCUGGAAAUUUAAAGGUGUAGUUUGCCUUAACAUAAAAUAUUACUAUGAUAUAGACAGUGGCAUUCUUCUGGCAUAUUUUUUCAUUUUAUUUUACUAUUUAUUUUUGUUCUGCCGCUGUCAGGCUUGGAAUUUUAACAGCUUAAUUGCCUAAUUACUCCAACGACCAAACAGCAGUUGGGAGGUCGGAAUAGAAAAUGAAUGAUAAAGGGCCUGAAUAGAAAGAUAAGAAAUAGCAAAUGAGAAUAAUGAUAAAAUCACAGUAAAUCAUUAGAUUAUUUCUGAUAUUCCCAGGGUCAGUGACCCUGAUAACCAAAUAGCAUUUCCAGUCGAAAACCAGAAUGAGGCAAAAAAAAGGUACCGGUAAUAAAAGAAAUGGAGACCAUUGAAAAAAGUUGCUAAAAAUAGGUGCAUACAUAGCUUACUUUAUAUUUAUUUAAAAGUGAACUUCCCCUUAACUUCCCCUACAAUUGCUCUGGGUCAGAAGCUCAGUGUCAGACUAAGAUGCCAGGAGCCCACCAGAAAAUCUUACACAGUGGGCUCAAGUUCUACUCCUCCUCUCCUCACUCAACCUCUUUAUUCUCCUAGUAUUUUAUGUCUACUAUAUUCCAUUAUUAAGCAUUGUUUCCCCAUAAAUAAAUAGGGAAUGCCCAUGAAACAGGCUAAAUGAUUAGAAGAAAGUGGCCCACUCUAGCAGAAGCUAGAGUCAUCUUCAACGUUUUGUAAGAAUUCAUAAUUUCUCCAGUACUUUUAGACCUUUACAUUGGAGGCUGGGAUUGUAUUCUUUAUAUAUCUAUUUGUCUUGGGGUGACUUUAAUGAGAGCAUUAUACCCUUUUUUGGCAGAAAAUAUAAUUUUACUACUUACUAUAUUCUUUGCCCUUGUUGCACAGAAAAUUUAUUAAAAUGGUAUAAAAUACCUACUUGCAGAAUGAGCCCCAGGACACCAUUGAGUUACAUCUAUAUAGAGACCCUUAAAUUAAUAUCUAGAGUAGAAACUGGACUCUUCAUUCCAGAGCUAAAUAGAGGUUUAGCCAUAGGCACCUACUCAGGCUUAAAUGUCCAUCGCCGAAGGUUCUAUAGGGGUUGCAGAGGUGAAAGGAAGGGAUGGUUUGCAAGACCCCCUUCCAGGACAUUACAUGAUUUCCAUAUUUCUCAGAUUAAAUGAGAGGAAUUGGUGAUUUCCCUAUGGAUUUGUCUAAUCAUGAUUUGAGGGUAUAGUGGCCCUUUAGCAUGCCCUUGGUGAACCUUUAUCAGAUAUCAGUGGAGCCUGCUGCAAAACAAUCACUAUGUAACAGAAACAUUCACAGCAGAUAAAUAUUAAAGUUACCUCUUCAUAGACAGCUACGUAGACAACUAUCAGAGAUCCCACUUUAAUUCAGAUUCUCUCUACUUGUUUUAUUUUUUAGCGAACCCCAAAUUAUUUGGAAAGAAGAACAGAAUGGAAGAACUACGAGAGGAGCACUCCAAUCCCACCUUUCAUCUAGAAGAGUCAGUUGACCAGACUGAAGACCUGACGGAGCUGAAUCCUGUCCGAGGGAAACAUUUUAGGAAGGCUUCCCAGUCCCUACCCAGGAAAUCAAAAAAACGAGCAUGCUUUUGGAAAUACUGCAUUCAAAACAAGUAAUUCAAGCCUUCUCUCUUUCAAACGACCCAAUGCGGCGAUAACAGGAAUGGAACACGACAAUGGAAUUCUUUGGUCCUUCAAGAUUCCGCACUGGAGUGAAACGCGCGGCGAAUGACGGUUUUCGUUUUUUCCUUUUUACGAAACAAAAAAAUCCCAAUAUUGUUGAGUAAUUUUAUGAAAACAAAAACUUUUUCCAGGUAAUUUUAUUCUGAAACGUUUCCGGAACGACGUUGUGUUGAAUGACUUAAGACAAAAGGCUCAUAUGGAGCUCAGCUUUAGGCGUAAUUCUUAGGAUUUAUAGGGAUUUUAUUAUUGUUACUAUGAAAACUGUUAAUCCCCUGGUUUAUUGCAUUUACUGUAGCACGACCCAUAGUGAUAAUGAGUAUUAUUAUUACUAUCAGUAAUAGUCUGACAUACAGGGACUACAAACACUGACCACACCAGUGUGCAACGCAACUGAAAAUCUUUAUGAAUGUUACUACAGGUAUCCAUUAUCCGUAAACCUUUUAUCCAGAAAGCUCCGAAUUACGGAAAGUACGACUCCCAUA